This 468-nucleotide ribosomal RNA is filed under the name uncultured bacterium. RNAcentral describes it as "partial 16S ribosomal RNA". It matches the Rfam family "Bacterial small subunit ribosomal RNA", at positions 28 to 507 of the family's 1533-position model. The record is from RNAcentral.
GACGAACGCUGGCGGCGUGCUUAACACAUGCAAGUCGAACGGAAAGGCCCUGCUUUUGUGGGGUGCUCGAGUGGCGAACGGGUGAGUAACACGUGAGUAACCUGCCCUUGACUUUGGGAUAACUUCAGGAAGCUGGGGCUAAUACCGGAUAGGAGCUCCUGCUGCAUGGUGGGGGUUGGAAAGUUUCGGCGGUUGGGGAUGGACUCGCGGCUUAUCAGCUUGUUGGUGGGGUAGUGGCUUACCAAGGCUUUGACGGGUAGCCGGCCUGAGGGGGUGACCGGCCACAUUGGGACUGAGAUACGGCCCAGACUCCUACGGGAGGCAGCAGUGGGGAAUAUUGCACAAUGGGCGGAAGCCUGAUGCAGCAACGCCGCGUGCGGGAUGACGGCCUUCGGGUUGUAAACCGCUUUCGCCUGUGACGAAGCGUGAGUGACGGUAAUGGGUAAAGAAGCACCGGCUAACUACGUG